UACGAAGGGGGCUAUCGUUGUUCGGAUUUACUGGGCGUAAAGCGCGUGUAGGCGGGGCGUUAAGUCGGGGGUGAAAGCCCAGAGCUCAACUCUGGAACUGCCUUCGAUACUGGCGGCCUUGAGUGAGGAAGAGGCGAGUGGAAUUGCGAGUGUAGAGGUGAAAUUCGUAGAUAUUCGCAGGAACACCAGUGGCGAAGGCGGCUCGCUGGUUCUUUGCUGACGCUGAGACGCGAAAGCGUGGGGAGCAAACAGG
This 253-nucleotide ribosomal RNA is filed under the name uncultured bacterium. RNAcentral's name for it is "partial 16S ribosomal RNA". It matches the Rfam family "Bacterial small subunit ribosomal RNA", at positions 524 to 776 of the family's 1533-position model. The record is from RNAcentral.